GGAGCCGUGGUGUAGUUGGUUAACACGCCGGCCUGUCACGCCGGAGAUCGCGGGUUCGAGUCCCGUCGGUUCCGCCA
RNAcentral lists this transfer RNA (77 nucleotides) under Bacillota bacterium. RNAcentral's name for it is "Firmicutes bacterium (anaerobic digester metagenome) tRNA-Asp". It matches the Rfam family "tRNA". Rfam says of the family: Transfer RNA (tRNA) molecules are approximately 80 nucleotides in length. Their secondary structure includes four short double-helical elements and three loops (D, anti-codon, and T loops). The record is from RNAcentral. Lineage: Bacteria; Bacillati; Bacillota.